UGGGGAAUAUUGGACAAUGGGCGCAAGCCUGAUCCAGCCAUGCCGCGUGGAUGAUGAAGGCCUUAGGGUUGUAAAAUCCUUUUAACGGGGAAGAUAAUGACGGUACCCGUAGAAUAAGCCCCGGCUAACUUCGUGCCAGCAGCCGCGGUAAUACGAAGGGGGCUAGCGUUGCUCGGAAUUACUGGGCGUAAAGCGCACGUAGGCGGCUCUUUAAGUCGGGGGUGAAAUCCUGGAGCUCAACUCCAGAACUGCCUUCGAUACUGAAGAGCUCGAGUCCGGGAGAGGUGAGUGGAACUGCGAGUGUAGAGGUGAAAUUCGUAGAUAUUCGGAGGAACACCAGUGGCGAAGGCGGCUUACUGGUCCAUUACUGACGCUGAGGUGCGAAAGCGUGGGGAGCAAAC
RNAcentral lists this ribosomal RNA (401 nucleotides) under uncultured bacterium. RNAcentral's name for it is "bacterial SSU rRNA". It matches the Rfam family "Bacterial small subunit ribosomal RNA", at positions 355 to 773 of the family's 1533-position model. The record is from RNAcentral.